AGAGUUUGAUCAUGGCUCAGGAUGAACGCUGGCGGCGUGCUUAACACAUGCAAGUCGAACGAUGAUCCGGUGCUUGCACCGGGGAUUAGUGGCGAACGGGUGAGUAACACGUGAGUAACCUGCCCUUAACUCUGGGAUAAGCCUGGGAAACUGGGUCUAAUACCGGAUAUGACUCCUCAUCGCAUGGUGGGGGGUGGAAAGCUUUAUUGUGGUUUUGGAUGGACUCGCGGCCUAUCAGCUUGUUGGUGAGGUAAUGGCUCACCAAGGCGACGACGGGUAGCCGGCCUGAGAGGGUGACCGGCCACACUGGGACUGAGACACGGCCCAGACUCCUGCGGGAGGCAGCAGUGGGGAAUAUUGCACAAUGGGCGCAAGCCUGAUGCAGCGACGCCGCGUGAGGGAUGACGGCCUUCGGGUUGUAAACCUCUUUCAGUAGGGAAGAAGCGAAAGUGACGGUACCUGCAGAAGAAGCGCCGGCUAACUACGUGCCAGCAGCCGCGGUA
RNAcentral lists this ribosomal RNA (503 nucleotides) under uncultured Actinomycetes bacterium. RNAcentral's name for it is "bacterial SSU rRNA". It matches the Rfam family "Bacterial small subunit ribosomal RNA", at positions 8 to 522 of the family's 1533-position model. Lineage: Bacteria; Bacillati; Actinomycetota; Actinomycetes. The record is from RNAcentral.